RNAcentral lists this ribosomal RNA (346 nucleotides) under uncultured bacterium. Its description in RNAcentral is "partial 16S ribosomal RNA". It matches the Rfam family "Bacterial small subunit ribosomal RNA", at positions 338 to 699 of the family's 1533-position model. The record is from RNAcentral.
CCUACGGGAGGCAGCAGUGGGGAAUAUUGGGCAAUGGGCGCAAGCCUGACCCAGCAACGCCGCGUGAAGGAAGAAGGCUUUCGGGUUGUAAACUUCUUUUGUCCGGGAAGAGUAGAAGACGGUACCUGACGAAUAAGACACGGCUAACUACGUGCCAGCAGCCGCGGUAAUACGUAGAUGGCAUUAGUUGUCCGGCUUUACUGGGUGUAAAGGGCGUGUUGCCGGGUUGACGAGUCAGAUGGUAAAUCCUGCGGCUUAACCGGAGAACUGCGUUUGAAACUGUGGAUCUUGAGUACUGGAGAGGCAGACGGAAUGCGUGGUGUAGCGGUGAAAUGCAUAGAUAUCA